Molecule: ribosomal RNA, 405 nt
Filed under: uncultured bacterium
Lineage: Bacteria
Description: partial 16S ribosomal RNA
Rfam family: Bacterial small subunit ribosomal RNA
Source: RNAcentral
GAUGAACGCUGGCGGCGUGCCUAAUACAUGCAAGUCGAGCGAAGCGGGGACGGGUGAGUAACAUGUGGAUAACCUCCUAUAUGCCUGGGAUAACUUCGGGAAACCGGAGCCAAACCCGAUACUUACCCCUUGAUCCGCUCUGUAUUAGCUAGUUGGUAAGGUAACGGCUUACCAAGGCAACGAUGCAUAGCCGACCUGAGAGGGUGAUCGGCCACACUGGAACUGAGACACGGUCCAGACUCCUAAGGGAGGGAGCAGUAGGGAAGCUUCCAGAAUGGGCGAAAGCCUGACGGAGGGAUGCCGCGUGAAUGAUGAAGGUCUUCGGCUCGUAAAACUCUGUUAGUAGGGAAGCGUUACCUGAUCAGAAAGCCACGGCUAACUACGUGCCAGCAGCCGCGGUAAUUC